Molecule: ribosomal RNA, 254 nt
Filed under: uncultured bacterium
Lineage: Bacteria
Description: partial 16S ribosomal RNA
Rfam family: Bacterial small subunit ribosomal RNA
Source: RNAcentral
UACGGGGGGAGCAAGCGUUGUUCGGAUUUACUGGGCGUAAAGGGCGCGUAGGCGGCCAGCGCAAGUCAGUUGUGAAAUCUCCGGGCUUAACUCGGAACGGUCAACUGAUACUGCGCGGCUAGAGUGCAGAAGGGGCAACUGGAAUUCUCGGUGUAGCGGUGAAAUGCGUAGAUAUCGAGAGGAACACCUGCGGCGAAGGCGGGUUGCUGGGCUGACACUGACGCUGAUGCGCGAAAGCUAGGGGAGCAAACGGG